This 32132-nucleotide long non-coding RNA is filed under the name Medicago truncatula (barrel medic). Its description in RNAcentral is "long non-coding RNA (MTRU_LNC008105)". Lineage: Eukaryota; Viridiplantae; Streptophyta; Magnoliopsida; Fabales; Fabaceae. The record is from RNAcentral.
AUGAGAAUUAUGGUUAUGCUGCUCCUCCUGCUGGACAGGAUCCCAAUGUGUAUGGAAGUUAUCCGGGGUAUCCUGGUUACCAACACCCACAGCAGCAACAACAGCAAAUGGGAUAUAGCUAAGAAAUUGCUGCUACAUGUUUGUGACCUUUUGUGACUGUACUGUUUGUGACCUUUUGUGACAGUACUGUUUUGAUGGAGUUGCUUUUCCCUUUUUGGAAUAAGGAUUCUUAUCCUUUUUCCCCCUCUUCCCAUUUGAUUGCUAGUAACAUUGGAGUUUUACCAAAGGCUCUUGUAUUCCUUUAAAUUUGCUUGCUGAUUACUUUUUGUUGUUUAGAUUUUUGAUGACAUUGGCUAUCUAUUGUGUUGAUGUUAGCUGAUCUCAGCUAGCCUGUGUUAAAUUAACAGUAGACCUAAUCAAAAUUUGAAGUGUUUUAGGAUGCGGAAUAAAUCACUGCUUUUCUUAAUUAACGAACCUAUUCUAUUUUUGACGUUUGUAUGAAAUUACUAGAUUCAAAUUGAAUUGAUCCUUUAUCUUAAUAAAAAAGCGCAUAGCUCCUUUUAAGUCAUAAAAUAAUAUGCACCAACAAUUUUCUUUCCAUCAAGCUCUUAAAAAUCGCUUAUGUGGAUGUUUUGUCAAGUUGGUUCUUCUUUUUAUCAAACCUGGUUGAAGAACGAUUAUGUUUAUGUACAUGUUUUGUCAAGUUGGUAACCGUUCACAAAACUAGCGUUUAUGUGUAUUAUUUUGUUGAUGAAUGAAUUGGAAAACAUUAAGAAAAAAUGUAUAGAAGUAAUCAUGAUUUAUUGAUGUUAUGAAUACUUUUAGUUAAACGGAUGAAAAAUUGAAUCAAAUUUUACAAAAAUUAUUAAAGGUUUACUUGUUCCCUAUGAAAGAUCGAUUUGAAAAGAUAAAAAAAACUAAAGAUUAAUCCUGUGCAAACAUAGACUUAAACGAAGAUAAAAUUGUUUGUUUACAUAUCUUAGAAUUAACUCUGCUGUGUUUAUUUUGAGUGAAAUUGAUUCAAUUGAGAUAGAUAGUGUGAUGUUUCUUACCAUAAUUCACUAUUUACAAUACUGUUGAGCACUUGUUAAUUAGGUCAAAUUGGUUUACAAAGUUGAGGUACAUCUCUACUUCUGUGGUGCUUGAUUCUCUUAUUGUUGUCUAAAAUGUUUCACGAAGCUAAUGAGAUAGGCUAAUGUUAUACCAAAUACCUUAGAUGCUUCUUGGGAUACAACAUUUUAAAAAAAAAGUCAUAUUAACCGGUACCUUAGAGAUAGUGAUUAAGGAAACUAAAAAAAUGAAAUUUUAAGUUGAAAAAAAAGUUAAAAAUAUCAUUUUUUUUUUGCUUUUGAAGAGUUGAGCGAACAACGUCCAAUAUAAAUACUACUAUAUUAGAUUCCUUAAUCAGUAACCUCACUUUAGAGAAACAUUUGUUAGCAUUUUCCUAAAAUUAUAGAUUAAAGAGAGAAACUUGUUUACCAAACAUAUCAUUUUAAUAUAAGCAAAAUUGACUUUUUAGAUUCAUUCAUUUAAUAAUGUAUGUAGUCCAUAUUAUGAACCACAUACAUCAUUAAAUGAAUGACCUAAAAAAUUAAUUUUACUUAUAUUUAAAGACGAAGGGAGUAACUUACUGAAAUUCAAAUCGGACUCCGACACACUCAAUUUUGGAUCAAUACUCUUCACCUUGUUCUUUGUAAGAAAAGAUAAAGACUUUGACUUUAGUUUGUUGGGUGGGUUGUACUCUUCACCAUAAUAUAUCAAAUUAUUCACUCUUUACUCUCUUUUACAUUGGAGAGCUGUUAUUAUCAGGUCCGGCUUUGAGGGUGUGCAAGGUGCUCAAUCUGACCGGGCCUCCAAAUGCUACAGCCUCUAACGAAAAAUUAAAUUUAAUACCCACCCCCUAUUUAAAUAAAAAAUAUAUAUGUUAUAUCCUUUUCUUUCUUUAGUACACAUUUGAGUUUUUUCUAGACUCUAGUUCUCCUUUUUGUACAUAAACCGGAUCCUAUCAAACCACCCCUAAUUUGUAUAAUCACUUAAUCAGCCAAUUUGGAAAGCUAUUUCAUUGAAAGAAUCACAACAAUCUUUUUUUUUCUUCGCAUAAACCAUUCGUUUUACCCUUUUCCACAAUAGAGGAGUGACAAAUCCAAACGACACCGUUAGAUAAAUUUCACAUCUUUCACUUAUUUUUUUUAAUUCCUUUCAUGUUUAGAAGUUCUUCUGAUUCUGAUUUUUUUUAAUGAAAUUUAACUACACAAAAAAAUUAUGUUUUAUUUUACUAGGUGCCUAUUUUAAAAAGAGAGCCGAACCUCCUAUUUCAUGACAACAAAAUCCUAAACUCUGCAUAAAAUAAGUAAAAUAAAGAGAGAGAAAAUUAUAAUAUAUAGUACAGUGUUGAAGUCAAAAGUUUGCGAAAUAAAUGACAAAAAUAGUAUAAAAAAUGGUGAAGUUUAGUAUGGGAAAGGCUAAUUUUUCCCAUCAUGGGAAAGUUAGUUUUUAACCAUUAGAUCAAACCAAGAACACAUCCUUACCAUACUCCCUCAUCACUAGAUUUUGUAAUUUUAUUAUUUUAAAACCAUUUUUUAAAAACAAAAAAUAUAUUUCGAAAUUAAAAUAAACAUUUAAAAAUAAAAAAUAAACUUAAUUUUGGAAAUUAAUUUUCCAAUUUUUUUUUUUUUGAGCAAGUUUUUUUUUUCAAAAAACUUAAUUAAAUCUUCGAAAAUCAUAAUUAAAUAUUUUGAAAACAAGUUUAUUUCAAAAAGUUUAUUUAUAUUUUUUAAAAUUUUGGAAAAUUAAUUUCCAUAUUUUUAAAUUUAUUUUUUAUUUUUAUAUGUUUAUUUUAAUUUCAAAAUAUAUUUUUUGUUUUUAAAAAAUGGUUUUAAAAUAAUAAAAUUAUAAAAUCUAGCGAUGAGGGAGUAUGGUAAGGAUGUGUUCUUGGUUUGAUCUAAUGGUUAAAAACUAACUUUCCCAUGGUGGAAAAAAUUAGCCUUUCCCAUGCUAAACUUCACCAUAAAAAAUAGAGAUAAGGAAGUUGUGUGUUCAAUUUAACCUCCGCCUAGAACAAAAAGCUUACUAUGACAGAGUAAUUUAUUAACAUUUGUGAUUAAAAAAAAUUGUGUCAAAUAAGUAUUUCUUUUGGGAAAUGUAAAAUAGUGUCAUUCGAGCAUUAGUUAAGAGAUCGAAAAUAAAAAUUUUGUAUUUACAAAAUGAUGAUUUUAACUUUUUAUAAGAGAAUGUUGCAACAACUAAUAUAAAAAAAAAAGUUAAAUUCAUCAUUUAAAAAGUUUGUCACUAGAAUCAUGUUUGUCACUACUAACAUGUUAAUCCUCUUAUAUUGUGAUUAACAUAGUUCUAGUGACAAAUUAUAUCAUUGCAAUGAUUUUAUAUCAUUUUCUGUUUUUUUUUUUCGCUUCAAGCAAUUUUGCUAAACUAGAUUAUGAAUUUCAAAUAUUCAAAGAAUCCAAGGCAUGCCGGUGGCAAUUAUGGUGUGUCCUUUGUCGAUUUGCAACCAGCACAAUGCACACAACUAGCAAAACGAUUAGAAACUUCAUGCUUCUUUUCAUAAGGAAAAAAAAUCAACUCUUCGAUGGCAGGUAGGAGGAAAAGGAAUGCUGCCGUUCACACUACAAUUAAUCCCCUUAUUUUUUUUUAAUUUUUUAUCUUAAUAUAUGAUUUUUCCUUCAAAUAUGUAUUAAUGGAUUUUUUUUAUAUAAAUUUAAUGCUACAUCUACUUUAAAGAGGAUAUUUGAUUGAUCAUUUUUCUUUGCCCUCUCUUUGUAAAAAAAAAAGUUACGUUAACUUGUCUUAUCACAUGUUAAGGUUUUCAAAAAAAAGAAAGUAUUUAUUGAGAAAAAAAAUUAAUUUUAAUCUUUAAAGAAAUAAAUUAGUGCAAUUUCCAAUGUGAUUUUUUUUUUGUUGUCAAAAUGCGAAAUUUCUUUUAUUGGUAUCUUAACAUGCGUCUCAGGGCAUAUGUUAGCAUUUCUCACUCAAAAUAAAUUUUGUUUAAUUCAAACUAAUCAAGUCUCAUUUCGCUAAUUUUAAUCUCUCAUCCUUGAACAUCUUCAUUAAUAUCUCAUAUAUAUAUAUAUAUGUAUAUAUAUGGUAAAAUAUUUUUUAAGAAUAAAAUGAAUAAUUCUUAUACUUCUAGGAUGUGUAUCAACAUAUAUCCAUUAAAUAUUGAUAUCUGAUACGUAUCUGAUACAUAUACGUCUUCGGUUUUAGAAUAUUUAAAAUUCAUAGCCAUUUUACUAUAAGGAAGUCUCCCUUCCUACUAAUUUUUUAUCCACCAAAUUCGAAUUUGAUACAUUAAUGCUUAAGAGGCCCGAAUCCAAUUACAUUAUGACCAAUGUAAUCUUGGUUACUUUACUUAAUUUGAUGAAAUUAUCGUUUAACUUUUAAAAUAAGCUUCAAUUGUUAUUUUCUCAAAAGUAAUGUUUUUCAAACGUAUGCAUCAAGUGUUUUAGAAGUAGGCAAAGUGCCAUCAUACUUUAUACAUAUUUGAAAAUUUUAUUCAUACAAAGUCAUACAGAUGUUUACUUGUCUCAAAUGUUAUAAUAGUUAUAUUAUACAGAAUUAUUGUGGUCAACGUAGCUUUAUUUAAAAACUAAAUAAAUGUAUAUAGUAUUAUUUAAUAAGUAGUAAAUAUAAAUUAUGCAAAAAAUAUUUUCAUUAUAUCAAAUUGAUGAAUUAAUAAACAAAUAGCUAAAAAAUUAUUUAUUAAUUUUUUAUAGGUCAAGAACCAAGAAGUAAGAGGGAGAGUGGAAGUUGAAGUUACCAUAUUAUAUGUUUACUAACAUAGACAUAUUAUAUUGAAUUAUUGUUCUCAACGUACCUUUAUUUAUAUUAGCAUUAUAGACGUCAAUGAUGUCACUCCUUUAACUAACUUUGCCACCCUUAAAUUUUAAUCUCACAUCAUAGUGCUCAAAAUCAAUUUAUAAACUUUCAUUUUCCUAACAAGAACUAAUGAAACGACAAAAGGUUGCUAACCCUGAGAUUAGUGAUGGAUAAUAUAAAUUAACACAUUAUUUUGUCACAUUUCAUGAGGGUUUUACUUAGCAGCCAAAAGACAAAGAAAUUAAAGGAUGAUAACAACAUUAUUCAGUCAAAUUUAAUUACAUUUUUAGGUGGCAUUGUCACUACUUAAAAAUUUAGCUAUGUUUUUCUAAGGCAGGUUCCAUUGGGCAUGAAUUAAAUUUAACGAAAUGAUGUAAGCCAGUUCAGGGGCAUCCCUUAAUAUAAUCUCCAUUAUUUGUUUACACAUAAUUGGUGCACAUGAUCUUCUUCAUCACCAAUAUGACAUCCAAGAAUGACCCCACCUUAAUUUAUUUUUUGCACCCCCCCAAAAAAAAUACACUACAAAUAUUAAUUCAGAAUCUAUCUACUAUAUAUAGUAGUAGUCACCAUAAGCCAAAUCUAAAUCCACAUCUACCUCUUCCUCUUUCUUAAUUUCUUAGUGCAAGUUUUCAUCAACAAAUUUAUUUUUUUUAGAGGAAGAAAAACACAUUGAAGAAAAAUAUGGCUCUUUCUAGGAAACCAUACUCAUACUCAAAGAUGGAUAAAGAAGAUCCUGAAGAAUUAAUCCAUAGAAGAGCACAAUUCUUGAUCUACAAGGUGUUGGAACAAGCAAAUUCUCGUAGAAAAUCAUCUUGUCUUAGAAUCAAAAUAUCUAAGUUGAAGGUGAAGAUUGGAAAGAGGUUAAGGAGGCUUAGAAAGAAAAUUAUAUCAAGUGUGUCUGCAGCAAGAGUUGGCAUUCAUGGACAUGUUGUGAGUCAAUUGAAAACAUGGAAGCGUUUGUUUGGGAGAGAAAAACAAACCCUUUUAACCAUUCCUUCUCUUAUGAUCAAAUAUUGAUACAAAUUACAUGGAAACUCUAUGGUGUUUUUUUGUGUAAUACCAUGUUAAUUAUGUUUUCUUCAUAUGGAGUAUGUCAUAUGUUUUCUUUAGGUUAGAAAAGAGUGAAAUCAUAAAUUCUGCUUCAUCAAGAUCAAUAUAAAAUUGUUUUUGCAUUUUAUUUUUCUAUCUCCCUCUACCUUUUUUGUUCUGUUAGAUUCUUGACUAUGUGGCAGAAGAAGUACAUGAAUUGAGAGGGUCAUUCUUGCCUCUUUUAAUUUAAAAAAGUGACGUGAUUUAUGUGGGAAGUAUACAUGGAUGUUUACUUUGUGAAAACAUUUUUUACUUUUAUUUUUUAAAAUUUGUGUUUACUUACUUGCUAACAAGAAGAUAAAAGAUCCUUAAAGUGAACAACUGUCUAUAUUUUAUGUAAACAAAAUGCUAAUUAUAGCAAAAAAGUUGGUCACGAUGGUAUCAUGACUAUUCAAUUGUACCGUAGCAAAUCACUUAUUUUUAUCAAUCGCCUCUUGUAUUCCGCCAAAGGAAACUCUAACGGUGGCCAUCUAUUCGCAGUACAUUCGUUAAGUUGUCUCUCGCACUAAAUAACAACGCUCUGUAUGUAAACAAUAAAAUUGUUAAAAGAAUUGUUUUCAUUUCUUCUUGAAAACAUUAUUUCUAGCCAACAUUUCAUCUUCUCUCCAUCGCAAACAAUUAUGACUCACUUUUUUGAAUUAGCAAGUUAAGAUAAACAUUUUUAUUUUUCCUGAAAUGAAGAAUUUUUUUUUUUCACAAAAGCAAAAGACUUACGUUUUUUUCACUAAUUUUUAUUUUAUAAUUACUUUUGGAGUACAAUUAUUCAAUAAUAAAACUAGUCAACUUCAAAUUUAAUUAUUAGACUUACUCAAUUUUACAUUUCACUUUUUUUUAGAAACCAACUUCAUGGAAAAUCAUGUUUGUCAAAUGCUCAGUCAAACAAACACACAUCAAUGACUGCUUGUCUUGUUUGCACUCACGAGAGGAAAUGUUUUUGAGCAAUAUAAUAUUAUAUAUUAAUAUAUAAUUUUAUGGAAAUUGAAUGUGCAAUAUAACAUGUCUAAUUUUCAAAGAAAUAACCGGUGAUAAUUUUUGUUGCUGACUUUUGUUGGUAGACGAAGUGACAAACACAACUUACAUCUAAUUGAGUCUCAAAUAUAAAUUUAGAUGAAAAUGAUCAGCCUAACAAUAUCGACACUUUGAGUCGAGUUAGAUCUUAUAAUUUGAAUAACUAUUGUAUUGUAUAUUGACGAAAUCAGAUUUUGUGUAUUAUAAUUUAGUCAAUCAUAAAACUUCCUUCGUUUUAUGUUUUCCAUUUUUGUGACAUAAGUAUUUUUGCAUCAAGAUUUGUUAUAUUUGAGUAUAAAAGAUGUUUACAUGGAUAACGUAUUUGGAUUAUACCUCAAAUAUAAGUGGAGUAAUAUUUUUCAUUAAAAUGGUAAAAAUUAAUGUUCAAAAUACUGUCAAAGUUCAAAGGACUGAACCCGGUAAACAAGCAUGCUGUUAUGCUAGCUUGUCAGGAACUUGGGAUUCUUUUUUUCAAGAUCUAAUGCUGACUUUAUGAAAGCAAAAAAAAAAAAAAAAAACAAGAAGAAUUGAGAGUGUGUGAAAGUUAGUGCAAGCAUUAAAGAGAACAAUUAUUGGUGAAAAGAGUCAACUAGUCAAAUACACCAUCCAGUACACUACCGUAGUGAGCCAGCUACUAUUUCUCAUCACUCCCUCAAUUAAAUAAUUAGUUUAUGUUAUUAUUAGUAUUAAGUAUAUGUCCAAGAAUCUGCAAGCAAAGCAAUGCUUCCAUCCAUCUUGCAAAAUCCCAGCCUGGCUGGUAAAUCUCCCGACAUCUUAUCAAUGGGAGUUGAGUAUACCGGAAUGAAUCGGUCUUUCAUAACAUAAUGAAUCAAUAUUGUUUGAAUCUCACUAGAAAGAGAUGUUCAUGUUCUAACAUCUAACAAUAUCUCAAAUAGUAAAGGUUUUCUUUUGAUAUCAACCCUCCGGUUUACUAGCAGAAAUGAACCAUAAUAAUCGGAGUUUAGUCAGAAGAUAAGUACAACUUAAUCGAAUUUAGGUUCUCUUAAAUAAUACAUCCUUUAGCGGAAGUUAUUUUCUCAGUUAGUAAUAUUCAUUUAACUUUGAUCAUGAAGAGAAUAUUUUGGUAACUUGGAGUUAAAAACUCCCCCUCUUUCAUAAUAUUAAAGUCUCCAUUUCUUUCGGGAUGAAUAGGAUCUUAACCCUUAAGUACUUGUAUUCUCCCUCUCCCUCUCCCUCCCUCCCUCCCCACUUAGCUUAACAAACCUUCAUUAAUCUUUCUUUCAAAAUAAAAUAUGGAAGAGAAGUGAAGAAUAAGUGCAUUUUUUCUUUCUUGAUAUAUGACAUAAUGGCCAUUGUGGAGCAAAUUAAGGUUUUUUUUUCCUUCUUUCAGAAAUCGUUUUUGGCAAAAACUAAGUCAAGAUCCUGUCUCUUUAUGAGUUUGGUUUUUGGAUCCUUUGUAGUGUAUUCGUAUGAAGUAACUUCAACAUUCCUCUCAUUGUGAGUGUUUGUUAAUUUUGAUUUUUGUGGUUGUCUUACUACCAUUUACUUGUCACAUAGUAAAAACAACAUUGAAUAAUGGUUAUACAAACUUCAAUGAUAAACUAUAUUCAAAUCCAUUAUCUACAUAAUCAACAACUUACUUGCAAUCAAGUUCAAAAAUAGUGUUUCUUAGAUUAGAAGCCACAAUUUCAAAAUAAACUAACUAAUUAAUUGAUUGAAUAAAAUGAAGGUCUAGCACAAAUGAAUGAUACGAGUUAUACAAGUGUUGUAUACUUCAAAAUAGCGAAUUUAUUUGAUUCCUACUCAACAAAAAUAAAAUAAAGCAAUUAAGCAAAUACAGACUAGCAUGGUUCAUGCAUAGCAAUAUUAGCACAUACAACAUUGUUCCUUUCGUCCCCACCACAACCAUUAUUAACACAGAUAGCUAGCAAAUAGCAUGCUAUCACGUUUCCUUCAGGCUUAGAAUUUGAACCAAAGUCAACUGUUGGCGCAUGAGUUCAUACUCAUUGUGAGUUUGAUUGAUUUCAAUUUGAGAUCAUGUCAUAUUGACUAAUGACACUAGUAUAUACUAGUACUAGCAGACUACAUAUAUAUCGUUAUCUUCCAUUUGCCAUCAAUUUUUUUUUAUUUUUUUUUUUUUUUUUUGUGUUGACAUCAUAUCGGAGAAUAUAAUAAUUGACCUUCAAAUUUGUUCAAUAAAAGAAAUAAUUGACCUUAAAUUACCUUAACAAAACUAGCAAUGAAAAUAAGAUUCGAUUAUCAACGGUAGCAUGUUUUCUGAUUAUUUGUACACGAUCUACAAAAAAAGUUAUCCAUCUAAUUCUAAAAAUCCAAUGUCAGUUUGUACCAAAAAAAAAAGCAAUGUCAUAUAUUUUAUUUUUUUGAUAAAAAAUGUCAGAGCAUGUAUAUAUUAAUUAAAUUAAAACAGUUUUUUUUCUUUAGGAACAAAAAAUUUGAAAAUAAAUCCUUUAGAAAAAAAAAAAGUGGGUCACUUGCCCCCACACCUCGUCCCUGGCACCAGGACCUGAAUUUUCUUCUAGUUUUCCCACUUGUCCAAUCGUUUCUUGGCUGUAUUUACCUGCAAUAUUCAUCAUAUUGUAGGCAUUAUAUUGAUUCAAUAUUAUUAGCAUUGGGUAAAAAGAAUCAUAUCAUUCAUAAUAUUGUGGUCUUGUCAAGGUUGUUUUUAGCAACUUGAAUCUAGGUUUUGUUAAUAAUGAUCAUGCAAUUACUAAUAAGAUUUUCAAAUACAAAUGAUAGUUCUUAAUUUGUUACGGGGAGGAGAAAUUUGUUGGUACCACGAAUUGAACACUCCUUAAUACUGGUGCAUAGAAUUGAGACAAUAAUCCGAUCAUAUUUAUUGAUAUCAAACUUAAAAUUUUGAAGAAGAGCACACUUUGAGAAUCUAAGCUAACAUCAUCAUACUAAUUCAAGUGGAUUAUAAUCUAAUCAUACUUAAAUAUAUUUUGAUGUACUCACUUAAUGAAAUAUAAGUAAAAGUGGUAGUUAAAAAAUCAAUGCAUGUGGUCAAAAUUUCGUCUACACACAUCAACUUUUUAAGUAUUCACGCGUCUCAAUUUAUAAGUCGUUUUGCAAUAUAUAAUGUUAUUUUUCUUAUUAUGUCCUUAAUUGUUUCUCACUCUAUAUUUUUUCAAUUUUUUUAUUUAUCUUUCCCAUAUCAUUUAUUAAUGACAAUUUUAUAAAAAAACUCAUAAUAUCUUUUUUUCAUAUAAAAUUAAUUACAUUUUUAAUACUUGAGAAAUGACCAAAACGACUUAUAAUUUGGGACGGAUGGAGUAUCAUUUUUGCUUAUAUUUCAUUAUAGAGGGAAUACUAAUAAGAAAUGAUAAACCUAAUAAUUAUAUUCUAUCGACCUUUGGUUAUUUUAAGGGAAAAUAGUCUUUUUAGUCCCUAAAUGUGAAAUGAGUAGCCACAAUAGUUUAUCAUUGUAACAAAAUGAUAAAAUAGUAUUUGAUUGAACACUCUAUUAGUCAAAAUAGUCUCUGACGUUAAAAUAUUUCAUUAAUCCUUUGGUAGAAUUUAUUAGUCACUCGAGUUCGAUCACGUAAAUAUAUUUUUUUUAUAAGAAAAAAAAGUUAGACAUUGAACUAUCCAUUCAAUACAAAGAUGUUCUUGUCAAGCAAAACUGACCUCUUUAAUCCAAUCAGUGCGAAAUGUGAUCCAUAAUAAAAUGAGGGUCUGCAACACUGUUCCUCCAAUCAUGCCGGACCAUAUUCCCUACAACAAAUAUAAACCCAAAUUUUUCAUCAAUUAAAAUCUGGUUGAUCAGAUUGAAGUUUUCUUGUGCUAGUUUGAAGUCUAUAUAUCUUCCUACUAUCCCAAGUGGAAGGAGCCUUUUUCCUCACCCUCCACAUUUCUUAAAAUUUACAUACGUAAAAUCUAUUUUUUAUACAUCAGAAGUGAUAACUGCAAUGAACGAUUAGUUGUAACAUGAAUCACUACUAGUAUCAUACCUUAACACCAAGGUUGAAUUUGAAGCCUAAAACACAACCCACUGGGACUCCAACCCCAUAAUAACAUCCUACGUUUAUAUAAGCCACAAUGGCUUGCCAUCCGCACCCAACUGCCACUCCUACAAAGUCAAUCCCCACAUAUCAAUGAGAUUCAACGUAGUUUUCUCCUCCAAGUGGUCAAUAAGCAUAAACAAAGAUAUUGAUAUUUGCUAUACAAUUCAACUUUUUUUUGUUAAUAAUUCAAUAAUUACUUAAUACUUCAUAACAAAAUUUUACAAGUGAUUGCUUUACUUAUACAAAUAUUGAAUUCAAGAGUAGGUGAUGUAUUUCUUUAGGUUAUUUUUCAAGUAGAAUUACGGGAUAUAAAAAUAAAAAAAUUGAAGUUUAUGAAUUCAAACUCGGAAAAAAGAAAAAUAAAAUAAUUUAACAACUAACCACUAACAUUUAUCAUUAAAAAAGAAGUCUAAGUGAAAAAUUCAGAUUCAAACUUCAUCCCUACAUAAUGCAACACUUCUACUAAGUAAAUUAUGAUCAAGAGACAAUAUUUCUUUAGGGUUUGAACGUGUGGUCUUGAAUGCAUUUUUUUACGUCUUGGCGAUUGCAAUUGUGACUACUUCAUCAGUAUUUUUCCACAACUUUUCAUAAUAUUUGGUUUUCAUUAGCAUACGACGAAAAUGUUAUAGUGAAUAUUGUCAUAUCUUUUUAUUUUUAAAAUAAUAAUAUAACAUUUAACUAUUUUCUCUUUUCAUUGAGAAAAUUCUUACUCUUAUAUUUGUAUACCUGAAAGCACUGGUUGGAUCCCAUUAAGAAUUAGAGUGACAGCCAAGUAUGGACACAAAUCUGAUACUGCAUUUGCAACAGUUUCACCUUCGGUGAAUACGUAACUUAUAACAUGACGAAGUGCAAGGACCACAAUUGCUUCUAUCACCGCAAUAAUGAAUGAAACCAUAUUCACAAUAACCACUGAAAAUGCUGCUGCUUUUGGAUUCCCAGAUCCCAAUUCGUUGCUCACUCUCACACUGUAAAUUAAUCAAUUCUCGCAAAAACUUGUUACAAACAAGUAUAUAUAUUUACUCCUAUUUACUGCAAUUAAAUUAGUUUAGUAUGACCAUUAAUUGAAGACAUAUUAUGCCCUAUAUUGACACGUUAAUAAAAUCAUAAGUUUUGUUAUAUAAUAAUACAACAUGAGCCAAAUUCUUCCAUUUUACAACAAAACAUCAGAAUAAAAGUUUAAAAAGCCACAAUAUUUCCUCAUAAUGAACAAAAAUAGAGUAUCACAUGUACCGUAUGCGUACCAAACACAGUUACUUCACCUUUUUUUACAAGUACUCAUGCUUAAGAGAUUAUAGCAUAAUUUUACUAACCUUGCAGCUGCAUUAAAUCCUACUCCAAUUUGCAACAGCAGCCCCGCUAUUGUCAUGCUACAUGAGACAUGAGAAAAUCUAUUUUAGUGUGUUCGUCUGAUUGGUUCUAUCAUGACAAAAUAUAUUUUUUUUAAAAAAUCAACUUUAUCUAAAUAUAAGUUUAGGUAAAAUGAUUUAUAUUUCCGCGUGUUCAACUAUGUAGAACAUUAAAUGUAGAUAUAAAAAUUAUGCUUGAAAUCAAAACUAGCACAACAACAAGUGUAUUUACUUGUUGAGAGUGAGAGGAAAAAAUGCAGAGAGGAAAAAUAGUUUCUCAUGGUCUGUGUUAGUAUUCUCCUAUUUAUAAGAGAGAGUGUAAUUGUACUCUUCUUACAUUUAAAGAGAGGUUUUAUAAUUUCUUCCAUUCAGUGAAAGUUUUCUAGUCAUACCCCGUUGUUUUUCCUCUUAUUUGUUGCUAUUGUAUCCAAUAAAUUAUGCAUUAUUACUUACCAAACAGCGACAGAAUCAAGAGCAAGCUCAGGAUUAUCAAGCAAACCAGUAAUAAGCACAAGCACCUGAAAGUACCAAAUCUCCAAGCAAAGCAUAACCGCAGAAGCACUUGAUAAUUUCACAAAAUCCCAAAGUUUGUAAAAAGCCUCAACACUAAACCCAUUCCAAGUACGUUCACACUUUCUUGAUUUAACUAUGUACACAAACUGGGCCACCACAAUAACCCACCAACAAAAACUCAAAACCAAUGAUGACCCAAUUAGGCCCAAGCCCAACUUGAAAACCGCAACCCAACUAAGCAACACAUGUAACACAAGUGUUGCUACCGAGAUGUAAGUGCUAGGCCGAACUAUGCUUUGCGCUUGGAGAAAUUUUUGUAUGGGGAAGUUCACCGCGUAAGCGAAGAUCUGUGGGAUCAAACCGUACACGUAUGUGGCUGCAGAAGAUGCCAAUGGCUCUGAUUCACCUAUUAAGAGUAAGAUUGGUUUGCAGAAAAUGUAGACUAUGGUUAAGGGAAUUGCUGUUAUGGUCAAUACUAUUGUUGCUCUUUGCAUGUAUAUUCCUAGCAUUUCAUAUUUGUUUGCACCAUAUGCUUGUCCACAUAAUGUCUCCACUGCACUUCCCAUGCCCAACUGCAAUCAAUUAAGGUGAAUAUUAUUUAAAGAUGUUUCGAUGAAGUUGUGAUAUAAACUGAUUGAUUAUGAAAUGAUGAAAUGUAUGAAUCCAUACCUUACGACGUUAAAGAAUUAAAUAUAGUAAUAAUGUAUUGGCAAUUGUGUAGUCAACUCUUUAGGAAUUAUAAAAAGGUUUUUUUAAUACAAAAUUUCUUUAUUUUGUUCCUAAAGAAAUGUCAAGUGCUUGUUAGUACAUGACCUUAGUCUUAACUACUUCAUCUUUUAAUAUGCGUCAAUUACUGGUUAACUAUGUGUCUCCUCUCAUUUAAUUCCUCCAAGUCACUUUAGGUAUCUUAAUAAAUAUUCUCUGUCGCAUAAAAUAUAGGGAAAAAUACAAUAACCUCCCUUGAGGUAUGCUCUUAUGUCACAAAUACCCCCUCUAUUUUACAAAAAUACAUAAGCCUCCCUUAUUUGCUUCCAGAUCGGAAUUAUUUUGAACCAAUUUCCUUCCAAUUUAUUCGAAAAGCCUUUAACCACCAUAAAAUGAAAGUGAACAUUCUUUUCUUCUACCAAUAUCUUGUUGGUACGUUGCUUCACAACCAGCAAGUGUUCUUCCUCAAUUACUGGGCCAAAGAAAAAAUCACCACAAACAAACCGUAAAAUCAAAUGAAAAAGGGAGAACAACAAACCAUGGCAAUCACAACGACCCCCAAGUGCACUGUUAACGUUAUUAAUUCACUCGCCAUUGUUUAUGAAAAUGAAAUUUGUCCGUCACAUUGGGGAAAACCGAUCAUUAUAAAUUGAAAAUAAAAACUGCAGUAACUGGUUUUUUUUGGAGCAAUUCACUUCUCCGUCGUUCUAAUGUUAUUCCCAAUUAGUUUCACCACCAACUUAAUUUUCCAGUUCUUCUUAUUCACUGCUCAGAAACUUGGUUUUAAGAAGUUACUCGUCCACAAAUAAAUAAUUAAUAUAGAUAGAUUUUUGUCCUAUAAAAAAAAGGAUAGAUUUUUGUAAAAACUUGAUGGAGAUCGUCAGUAAAGCAACCUACCAUACUAGGAGCAAGUAAACCUUGAGGAAGAAGAUAACCCUGCAUUUCCUUUCUUUAUUUGCUUAACUCCGUUAAUUACUAUUUGGGACGUUAACUUUGAAGGGAAGUGACUGUCCAUUGUUUGAACAAUUAAGGGAGGUAAAUGUCUGGUUUAAAAAUAGAGGGGGUCUAAGUGUCAUUUAGAGAGACCUCAGGGAGGUCAUUGUAAUUUUCCCUAAAAUAUAUUCUUAUCGAGUAUAUAUUGAUUUAUUUACUAAUACAAUACUUCACCUAAUAUCGAUUAUAAACAACAUUUCAUGUUUUUAACUGAUGUAUUUAGUCUAUAUUAGUUAUUCAAUGAAUCUGAAAACUAACUUUUUUUUUUUUUUUUGCAUAGAAUUAAGACGGAGAGAGUAGAUGUAAAUUGAAAUAUAUUGAAUUUAAAGAUAAUCUUUUUGUCAAAUAGGUCAAUCAUUGUGUAACGAAGGAAUUAUAAAUUAGGGAGAACAAAUGAAUCUUAUAUUGUAGGUUGAAGUGUCACUGUUGUUAUUAAUGUUUCACAAAAUGUGCAUUAAUUUAAAAGAAGAAAAAAGGAAAGAGUGGCUCCUUAUAACCAAUAGUUAUAUGGAUCAAACUUCUCUGCAAAUAGCCACGUGAACCAUGCAUUAGACUCAAUUACGAGAUUUGAACAUUCUGCAUUAUGACUUUGAUAAAUUGAGUCCAAGAUAUACAAAUUUAAAAUACAAGUCAUUUGAUUUUUGGUAUGAUGAUGAAUAUGCAAAGAAUCAAAAUCCAAAAGUUAUAUGCAAAUGCUGGAUACACAAAAUGGAUGCUAUAUGCAUAUAGUAUAAUUAAGUAACGGUAGCUAGCAUUACCAUUAAGCCAGAAGCAAAGAGCUGAAUUCCACUAUUGCCAAGAUUAGCAGCAGCAAGCUGAAGAUUACCAAGAUGACCGGCAAAGGCGCGAGUAACGGUAGACAUGGAGUUGUUGAUUAAGUAAACGAGGAUAGCCGGCGUGGCAAGAGGAAAAAGAAGGUUGAGUUCAAUCCAUGUAGCAGAUAGAAGUCUCUUUAACAAAGGUAACUGAGUGUUUGAUAACAUUUCUUCAAGACUAGAAUUCAGUUCAGGUGGUGGUGGAUGAUCAUGAGUUAAUAUUGGUUGAUGAAGUUCAUCAAAGUUGGAUUCCAUAUUAUUUUAUGGUCCAAAUGGAACCAAUAGAUGCUAUAUGUUGAUGGAGGGAGUGAUACAAUGAAUAAUGUAAAUGAUUGAGUAUCUCAUAGUAUAUAGAGAAUGGGAUGGAACAGAGAUAUGACAUGUUAGUUGCAGUGCAAUAAAUAUAGCUUCUUUUGACUCCUAAUGAUUUUCUUAUGUCGCUUUACACAAAAAAAAAUUCUCACUAAUUUUCAAGGUGUGAGCAACUAUACGAGUUUUCCACCCCUAAAUAACUGUAUUUAUAAAUAAAGCUUAUAACUUUACAUAUACAAAAACAAUUCAAUUUUAUAGUGUAUUUUAUCUUUUUUUUUUUUUUUUGACAAAAGUAUAUUUUUGUCUUUUGUUAUAAAUAUAGUGUAUGCAUAAAUAGUUAACAUGAUAAGUGUUUAUCUGUCGAUAAAAAUAUAAUAUUUUUUUUUUUUUUAUAAUAUAAGCUGCAAAUUAAACGAGUUAUGAUCAUCUCUGUCUAUGAUUCUCUUUAUUUCUUUAAUUUGAAGAGAUAAAAACACAAAAAGGUUUAAAAAAAUAAUAAGUAAUGAUGGUGGGAUUCAGUUAAUAGUACAACCAAAUAUCUAUUUUUUUUUUGUUUAUCUCCCUUCAAAUUGCAUACUCCAUUUAUUUUGUCAAAUGGAGAUGAUUCUUACUCAAAUUAAACUAUUCAAUCAAAGAGAGCCUUAAAUUGUUUCAAAGAUAACAAAUUAAUACAAAAUAAUAAUAAUAACAACCAAUUUUGAUUUGAUUUACCGCAUCUUGAUUUUUUACAUUUGCUUUUCCUUCAGAAUAAUUUAUCAAAUGAAUUUUAUUUAAAAAUAAAUGUAUUCCCUCUGUCCCUUUAAAUAAACACUAUUUUUUUUAUUCCCGUGAACUUAGCUCAGUUGAUAAGGACAAUACAUAAUAUAUAGAUCUGAGGUUCGAAAUCCGACCACCACAAAAAAAAAAACACUUUUUUUAUGUCCAUGUUCGAAAAAAUUUGAUAAUGUAAUUAAUGUGUGUUCUUACAUUUUAUGUCCUUCAAAAAAAUUCAAUAAUAUAAUGUAAUAUUGUUUAGAAAUAUAAGAUGUACACAUAUAUUAUCAAUCUUUCAAAUACAGAAUUAAUAAUACUAAUUAGAAAUAUCUGUCAAAAAAUAUAUUAAAUACAAGGGAAAUGUAUUUUUGGAAAUAAUAGCUAAAAGUAUAUAGUUGAAAAAAUAUAAAAUAAAGUUUUUAUUCAGAGACCAUUUUCUUUCCUUGUAAAUAACUCUUAUAAAUAGGGAUGAGUUUAGUCUAUAAAAGAGGAAAAUAUCUUUCCUUAAAAAAAAAAAAAUGGUGGCUGGUCCUUUGAAUGCUAAAACCAUUAAUUGGGAUUCAAUGAAGCUUACUUGUAAUGGCGAUCUAAUAAACAUGUUGUUUAGUCUUUUACUUUACUACUUUCUCUUUGAUCUGAUCUUUUUUUAUUCGAGUGGGUUAAGAUCCUCUUCAUUUAUAACUUUUUUUUAUUUGUUGUGAUUUGGAGAGAGGUAGACAAAAAAAAAAGAAUGAUGGUGGGAUCCACUUAGUAACCCACCACUUAUUUUUUUUUUUUGUUUAUCUCUCUCCAAAUUGCAACAAAUGAAAAAAGUUAUAAAUGAAGAGGAUGAGGAUCUUUACUCGAUUAAAUAUAUUACUUUUAUCUCUAUAAAUAGAACUAUACAUUUUUUUUUUUAAAAGAACUAUAUAUAUAUAUACUCUCUUUCAAAAAAAAAAAAACUAUAUAUAAAUUAACAAUGUAGAUUUAAACAGAACAUCCCUAUCUAAAUUUAAAUAUGAAAUUUGGCAGUUAGACACUAGGAUGGAACAACGAACAUUAUUCAGACAAUGAUAAACUAUAACCUUACUAGUACCCUAUUAGACAUUUUUUCAUGGGUUAAUUUAUAUAUAAUGAUUGUUUAGAUGCCUUUGAAAUACAAACACACCUAUAAAUCAUUUAUAUACAAUGUCCGACAUGUCUUAAAUAAGAUUACAUCAAAUAAAAGAAAUUAGAUAAAUCACAAUCAAGAUUCAAAUUUUUGUUAGGGAGUAAAAUCAACUUAAGAGCGUGUACCAAAACAAAAAAUAAAAUCAACUUAAGAGUGAGUGAUAUUUAAAACAAAUUUUUUUUUUUGGUUUAAGCGUGAGAGCCUUAUGUUGAUCAUUUUUCUUUUUAGGGAAUGUAGAUCAUUUUUCUUUUUAGGGAAUGUAGAUCAUUUUAUUGGUAUUAGGUACUAUCAACUUUUUCUUAAAAAAAAAAAAAAAGGUACUAUCAACUUUAAUAAAAAAGAAAAAUCAAUUUCAAUAACAAAAUGUGUUCUUCUUUGUUUUCCACCAAAAAAAUUAUGAGGAAUGCAACACUCUCUUUUGAACACUCUUUCUAACACUCACUUUUUUGUUGGAUGAAAUCAACAUAUGUCUCACCACUUUAUGUGGUUUCCAUUUUUAGAGUGUAGGUUCUAUAUUGUUUGUUUUCAUUCAAUAAAAUAAUGAGUGCUAGAAAGAGUGUUCAAGAUAGAGUGCAUUCCUCAAAAAUUAUAUUCUUUUAUGCUUUUUGGACUGUGGUUGCCGGUUGGAACGACCAUUAUUAUUAUUUUUUUCUAAGGAAAGGACGACCCAGCUAUCAGUAAUGGAUUUCAAUUUGAUGCAUUUAUUUUGUCAACAAUCUUAUCUUAUUAAUAACAACGUCGAAUGAGAUUGUUAAAAAUUUAUUGUGUAUGGUAUAAAUAAGCCCUUCGAUCUUAGAUUAAAGGUUGAAAUCAUUUACCACAUGUCGACAUGUGCUUUUUUAUAGCAGGCAAUUUGGAUUAGUCAACAACCCAUAUAUAGUUAUAUCGUUGAGUUUUAAGUAUGAGUGUUUUAGUCUCAUAUCGUUUAUGGGUGAAGUCAUGAGUCUUUUAUAUGCUUUGUAAUGAGCAAGAGAUCUUAAUUUAAAUAUGGAUUUCGACUUGGUGAGGGGAGCGGAAGUUUGGAUCCCAUAUUGUAUCCUAUUAUAGGAGGUGGAAAUUCACAUUUGAGAGGUAGAUUUUUGGAUUUAAAGUGUGAACGGUUAAGUCAUAGGCCGCAUAUGAAUAAGUAAAAUGUUUGAGGUUAUCCAUAUACCUAAUGCCUUAAAAUUUUGGAUGGAUGUGUGGUGUCUCACUUUCUUAUGGUCCUGGAGCAUUAACCCUUUGUUUCUCUCGUGACCCCGGACUCCCCGACAAGUGGUAUCUGAGUCCUAUUACAAAAAGUGGGAACUCACAUUUGAGGGGUUGAUUGUUGGGUUCAAUGUGUGAGUCGUUAAGUCCCGCAUCACUUAUGAAUAAGUAAAAUGUUGGAGGUGAUUCUUAUACCUAACAACUUAAGGUUUUGGAUAGAGAUAUGGUGUUUCCCUUUCUUGUGAUCUUGAAGCAUUAUUGCGCUGUUUCUCCCGCGACCCUGGACUCCCCAACAAGUAGUAUCAGAGUCCUAAUUUGACUUGAUGGGGGAAGGAGGAUAUGGAUUUUUCGUUGGAUCUUGUUAUAGGAGGUGGGAACUAACACUUGACGGGAAAGUUAUAGAGUUUCAAGUAUAAAUGGUUAAAUUACAACAUUAAAAUUUAAGGUGAAUAUGUGAUAUGUUACUCUCUUAUGAUCAUGAAGUAUUAGCUCGUUUACUUCCUAGGACUCCCCAAAACAAUCAAACAAAUUGUUAUGACCUAACAUGAGAUUCAUAUAUUUAGGCUCAAGUGAUUUAAGGACUACAAGUUCCAUUAGCUGAUGUUGUUAUUCUUUUAGAAGAAUCUAUAUAAAUCUAUUAGAAUGAGUAUGUGAUUAAUUUGUUUAUUGAGGAAAAUUAAUGUUCAACCUUUAAAAAAUAUUGUAAAUUGGACACAAUUUUUUAUACAUAAAUUUUGUUAGUGAAAUCCUUAUCAUUUCUCUUUGUUUAAACAUGUGGAUGUUAUAAAUAAGAAUUUAGUGAUUGUGAUCAUUACCAAGAAAAUGAAUGAACAGAGUAGUUUUAGAAUAGCUUAACUAUAGUAGUAAUUUUUAUUCUCUUUGUCGUGUACUUUAAUUUUUUUUAAUCUUUGUAGUAUAUUUUCUCUAGGUACCACCCAAAAAGAUGGUCUAAGUUAACACACCUACAAUAUAAUUGACUAAAGUUGAGUUCCAUGUGAUUAUAUUACAAACAACUUUUUUAAACAUCACAAUUAGCAUCGAGUGGUUGAGUAAGUUCGUACGUCUUGACUGUUAGAACUUGGUUUUUGUUUUUGUUCCUUUUGACUGUUAGGUACUUGCUGUACUAGUAGCUGGUUCACCUCGACAGACUAAUUAAUGGAUGUCUAAAAACUAGGGAGGAUUAUUGUACUAAUAGAUCAAUUAAUUGUUCCUUUUGUGUGACCGAUUUUAUUUCAAUGCGUUUCUUAAUUUUGGUUUUUAUGGGAGUCUGUUAUUCUUUUAUGCUAUUCUCUUUUCCCCUCAUAUACCACAUUUACUCCUCCAUAGUUUCGAGAUAUUGGGUCAUGAGAGGAGCUCCAGAGUAUCACAUUAAGCUAAGAUCAAUCACAUAAAUUGAAUUAGACAUUACAUCUUCACUCAAACUCUUGGUCCCUAAUUUAUAAGUUUUUUAACAUUCAUUUUUCUAUUUAUUGUGGGACUCCUACUCACGGUAAUGCAUACACCAAUACAAGAGAUACAAGUAACUAUAUUAUAAUAGGAAGAGUGAUGCCAAUACUCUCUUUUCAACACUAUCUCUAACAUUGCUCUCUCAUAAGGUGAAAUCAAUGUGGAUCACAUCACUUUAGACGGGAUCCAAUUCUAAAGUGUGAAAUCUACAUUAAUUUCAUCCAAUGAGAAAGUGAGUAGUACUAGCAUUUCUCGUUAUAAUAUAUCGCACUAUGGUUGCUCUCAUUGUACCUCUGCCAUCUACAACCACAACGAGACGGUUGGGAUAAUAAUUUACUAUUUACCAUUAAGAUUGCUAGCACACAAAAACUUGAGGUAAUCAGAAAUUAUUAAGACAUGCAUAAUCACAGCAAACAGGGGUUGGUAUAUAAUUUCUGGUAAAAAUCAUUUUAUUCUAUUUUGGUUAUUCUAGUUUUCUAUGCCUUAUUUGUAACACUCCAAUGUGGUCAGGUCUCGAGUACAUGAGUUUAGACGUGAAGCUGUGUAAACUUCGAAGAGCACACAUGAUAUCAGGUUGUACCGGAGGCUCUCCCUGGUUUUGCUUUCGGGACAAUAAUUUUUGACACGGCACAACAGCUCUCAUCUCCUGGUAUUUCCAACAGAGACAUCAUCAAAACUGGCGACAAACUUGAAAAAAAAACUUCCCACCGGAAUGUUUGCGGCAAAGUCCCUGCACAUCUGCACAGAAACUCCAUAGCCACUUCACCUCUAAGAUUUGAGUUUAAUCCGUUCUCCGCUAAAGUUAGCAAUUAUUGCGUGUGAUUUCAAUGAAUCUGUCUGCAUGUUUAUGUUACUCAAAUAUGGAGACCGUAACUCCCUGAGUAGAAAAGAUACCACUACAUUCUUUCAUACACUUCAUUGCUCCCUGCUUGUAAUUUUUAAGGAUCACGGAUUUACUCACUCUCAACUCCCGAAAGAGUAGCUCGAUGGUUGGGACACCAAAGAAAUUACUUGUAGGAAAUCCAAGGUUUGAUCUCUGCUACUAACAUUUCCUCCUACGUCUAACAAAUUACUAACCACUAACAUUUGUAUAUCCAAAAGUAAAUUCAUUAAACAAUACAGAACAAAACUAACCACUAAUUACAAAACCACCUUCAACAUCAAUUCAGGUAUACAUCUCAAUCUUGACAGGUUAUUGUAUAACCUAUGCUUUCUAAAUUUCUUAUAUACAAAAAAAUUAUUACACAAAGCACACAAUAAUCAUUAAUCAAUAAGAUCAGAAACAUAGUGGGGUUCACCUCCAAUUUGAGAUCUCUUUGUCAUAAAACCGGCUACAUUUGAAUAUAAUUAAUCUUUGACAUCAACACCCAUCCAAAAGCCCUUAUCGUUGAAGGACUAGGAAAGCUGCAUCUAACUAACAAGGAUGCUCUCAUAAAUUACACGAGUGCCAUGGCGAGAAAGAAUAAAUUGACAAGAAGGAAUAUGAGCACGUGACGACUGUAGAGACCUGCAUAAAAUGAAAAAUAAAAUCAUCAAGACUAAUGAGGUUCAUUUAAUGCAAUUUUGCAAGUUUCUUCAAAAUUUAACUCUAAUGUUAAAUAUUUCAAUACCAAGUUGUAUGAGGAACAAAUGCAUUUCUAGUAAAAAUGUAAAGAAAAGUAAUUUCAGCAAUUAAUACUUCAAAUUUACGACUUCCUAUAAUUAGGACCAAAGAAAACACCAAACUUUUUCUUAUAUAUGCAACCAGAGGAAGUAUCUACACAUAAACAACCAUAUCUAUUGCAGUCAUUACUUAUCUCGGUCACCACACAAUUGGUCAAUAUUUUGUUUACUUCUAAAAAAGCCGAUCUAAGGUGUUCGAUAGAGACUAGAUGGUUCACAUUCGUGACUUUGGAAAAUCAAAAACUCGUAUUCUCAACCAUUCGAUUUCCAACGACUAAAAUCAUUAAUUACAGUGACGGCUGACAACAUCAAAUCCCAUUUGAAUUGAUCGGAAAUCCCCAAAUUCGAUCACUAACUGAAACAAUCAUUGACUAGAUUUUACUUACUCUCUCCUAAGAACCUCCUAGAACUGAGCUGAUCAAGAGACCAUUUUAAACUCCUAAUGGCUAUGUCAAGCAUAUGUUAAUAUUUCAAACAGCGUUCAAGAAUUCAUUGAUUACUGAAUAAACAGCAUAAAUUCAAAAGGUUCUCUUACAACUUUGACCAGAUGCUGCUGCAGGAAGAGCGGGGAUGUUGACAGCUGCAGUUCCAAUAAGGUAGAGUUGUCAAGAAAUUUAAAGAUAUAAAAUAUUUCACAUAUAAAUGAAAAAUUGAAGUUGCGAACCAGAAAAAAAACCUAAAAAAAAAAAAAAAAGUAGUUUGCCACUUCAGGAGGGUAUACACAUACAUUUAUUGCAUGAUUUAGAAGCUAGUUGAGAUGUAGAAGGCCAGGGAGCUGGAAUAUUGUCAUUUAGAUCACAAAGGAAGGUAACACCAGAAGUACUGUCAAAGAUAGCAUCUGAAGGCAAGCUAGGCAAUAGACAACCAUACUCUGUUUAGGGAAGAUAACGUAGCAAGUCAAUUCAUAGCACUACAUUAAAUGAAAGAUCACAUUAAAUAGUAACUCAAUGACUUAUUUGAAGCAUGUUGAAAUAAAUAAAAAUGCAUUUCAAAAGUAAAUAUUUAAAAAAAAAAAAAUCUCCGAAGCAGUCCCUUUGGCAAAAUAUUUAAUCCUUCAAGGGGGAAAUAAACAUUAUGCGGUUUUUGAAGAGUAUGACUUAGAGACAUUUAGUCCUUCUGUCCAGCGGGCUCCAUGACACUUCCAGAUCUGCACGUUACAAGUAACUUGCUUAGUUGGCACUAACUUAAUCCAAGAAGAUCCAUGAGAAUGAUGAUCCAGAUCCCGACCCUACAAUCACCCCUCAUCUUAUUGUUGUUCCUUACUUCGAUAGUGCUUCUUUACUCGUGCCAAUGUUCGAAUACGAACAAGAAGAGGUUGCUAAGUGCAUGAUGUUGUUGUCCAAAUAUUCUAGCAACAAGGGUCAUUUUGCUUCUGUUACAAAAAUCUUCUGAGAAUAACUUGGUUGUGCCAGAGGAGUAGCAUACUCUCAUACAAGGGUUGCUAUUAAUGGUAACAAUUUUGUCUCUGAUUCUCAUGAGUUUUUGGGGGAAGAAGUUGCACAAUAACAUCAAGUUAAAGUUUGAUGAGAUCGGUGUUUCUGAUGAUUCAGAUAUGGUCCGAAAAAGGUAGACUCAGAUGUAUAAAAGUGAUCAAUUUAACCGCCUGAAGGUGGGAUAUUUUUAUGGGUUUAAGGACUAUCAUGUUUAAUCAAGUUAGAUAUUAAAUAGAGGCAGAAGAAAACACAUUUUCAAUGUUACUGAAGAAUUGAGUGAUGGAUUAUUCUUAUUUGGACAAACAAAUGACAGUAAAUGGUUUACUAAUAAUGAAAUCUAUGAAAUGGUAACAGUUUAUAAAUAUGAGUGCUUGAAUGGGAUAACGGCUCUUAGGAUUACCUAUAAAAGAGAGAUUAAAAUAGUUUUCAACAAAAAGAAGUCUGGUAAUGCUAAGUGCAGUCUAAGAAAGGUAGGCAACAUGAGUUUCCAACCAUGUGAGAAAAUAAUACGGGCCAAGUGGGUGCCGUGUAAGCAAGUUAACGUGCCAUACAUGCAGAUAACUUAAAUGUCAUGGAACCUUCUUCACAAAAGACUAAACAUACACAUUUCAGGAACCACACAAUUUGUAAAUGUGUCCUUCCGCAUAUUUUCCAGGGACUGGUUGGGGGUCUCUUUUUUCCACAACUGAAAACAAUCAUAUACUUAAAACCCUUCCCCUUCCCUUUUCUCUCUGACCUCGGUCCAACACUCUCCCAAACAAAAAAGGUGGUACAUACUACAUGCAAAUGGUAUAUAUUGACAUAGUAUACAGCAAUAUGUAGUUACCUUGAGUUGCAACUGAAGCAUCCACAAUGUUGAUCACCACACCAAGUUAAACAAGCAGGGUGAAAAAAUGAAACAUUAACAUCAGACAUGAAAUAUUAAUAAGUGUUAUUGUGUUGCAUACUGAUGGGAAGAGAGAAAUAAACCAAACCUUGUAGGGAAAAAUCCUUAAGGCUUAUGUGACAAAGACUAUAAACAUCAUCAGCGACAUUUGACUUUUUUAAUUUCAUUGCCAAAGUUUCUGCACAAUCCAAAGCUUGCAAGUUUGUGAUGAAGCUCUGCUUCUGCAAGUGAGACACAUAGCUCUCCAUCGCAUUACAGCACGCUGUUCUGUUACUUAUCCCACUGCCGCAACUCUUGGCAACUUGCUUCGCGUCAGGCAAAACAAGUGGACAAACUGGCAAAAAGAGAAGAUUUAAGCCAAAAAAAAGGUCAUUAAGGAGCCAGAAGGAUUAGCAUCAUUCGAAUGAAAAAAUAAAAGAUUUUACUCAAACAAACCUUUAUUCAUAUUGCAAUUAGACAGUCCUCUGAGAACUUUCUUGCCAUGAGACGGGUCAAGCUUACUAGCUAUCCACCGGAGUACUAUAUUUCUACAAUCAUUAACCCGAAUUGAAUGCUCAGGCAGAUCAUGUGAUGCAUCUAAGUCCAAAACAUGAGAACCUUUUGAUGCAAUUGCUGUAGCUGCUUCUAAUAUAGCAUUGUGACAAACUUGGUAGCAGCAUUCUUUCACUGGAUCAAUGUCCGCACAAGCAAGAAGCAGCUUAGAAGUAUCCACCAUGUCAUUAAAUUCAUUCACAUGUUUUACCGGGCAAGAUGCCUCUGUGAGAUUCGAAGAACUAAUUGAACAUAUUUGCCUCAGAUCACCACUUGCACCCUGCCCCAUCAAAAUCUGCUCCACGUCUGAAAGGCAAUGUUUAGCAACAGUCCCAUUUAAGGCAAGUGCAUUGGUAUGUUUGCUGGAUUGACCGAUGAGAACUGUGACAGUGGCUUCCAAUUGGGGACAGCACAUUAUAUUAGCCACAAAAGGUGCAAAAAAUCCCCAGCAAUCAAUUGCUGUCACACUUAGCAAACUUUUAGCAUUAGUGAAGUUCAAACUGCAGAGUCCUGAAAGAUACAUCAACUGAGACAGUGAGAAACAGAGAUAGCCGUUGAAAAUCCAAAAUGACCUGAGAAAUUAUUUAGGAAAUGACCUGAUAACUUUGGGAUAGAGAUAUUGGUGAAUGGAGUCAUUGGUGACGGCGCAAGAAGAGGAAGAAAGGGUUGCGGUCCUUGUGGAGCACCAAGUGGCGCGAUCUUGGGGAACAUGGAGCCCACAUGGUUAUCCAGUUGAACGGGACCUUCAGCAUGCUCGACUCUACUACUAUGGGAUUCACGAGCACCUGUGCCAAAAUACGAAAAAAGAAAACAAGUUCUAAGAAUGACUAAAGUAAACUUCAAUAUACAAUUAUGCUUCAUGAGCUCUAGCAUUUUAAAGUUGUGGGAUAUGAGUGGGUGUCGAACAUUGUAAAACCGAAUCUCCAAUUUUAUGGACUCAGCUAUACCAUUAUAAUUUGACAAUGCAACAACCGCUAGAUCAUAGAAGCUCCCUAGUCAAUAUGAUCAAAGACAAAAAAUAACUACACAAACAUCUAUUGUACAAUAAGUCCCUGUCUGGAUUAACAACUUAUUGUUCAGCUUAAAGCAUAAGUGUUUAUCAUGAUACACGCUUAUGUAUCAGCUAUUUCUAUACAAAGGAUAAAACAAAGUUAAAUUAUUUUCAUAUAAGCUGUAAACUGUUUUCAUAAGCUAUCUUGGAGAACUUAUGAAAAUACGCAGAAAACAAAUUAUGAACAUAUCAUAAGCUGUUUUCAUAAGUUCUCCCAAAUAAUCGCACAAGUGCUUAUGUCAAUAGAUAACCUCAAAUAAGUCAAUCCAAACAGACCUUGUAUGUAUAAUUUUGCGCUUAAUUAGCACCAACAGCUAAAUUGAAACCAAAAUUCAAGAAUGACCCUAAAUUUAUUCCCCCCACAAUAUCAUCUCUUGAAAUAAAAAAAAGUACAACAUUUUCAAAACCCUAACAGUAGCCAUCCUACCCCAUUAUAAUAAACAUUAGUACAAAUUAGCAUUAGAAAAACCAAAAAACAGAGAACAAUGCCCUUAAGCAGUGUUCAUAAAACAUAGAAUUAAACAAAAUUCCAUCAUUAAUAGUCAACAAAGCAAUGAACUUUAAACAACCAAAAACAAUCAUGCUCAAUUUUCAAAACAUCAACAUUACUCCCCAAAACAAAAAAACCCAACUUCAGAAAUCAUCAAACCCACUUGAAUUCCCACCAAAAUCAACCAACACAGCAUUCCAUAACAAUCACACACACAGAUCAAUAAAAAAAAUGCCAUUUUUAACAAUCCAAGUAGCAAAGAGAACUUACAAAGAAGAAGAAUGAACAGAAACAACAUUUUCAGCUUCUUUAUACCCUCAAAUUCAGUAGUAGAAAAGGUAAAGCAUUCAAAGAAAGAAUGAAAAGGUAAAUGUAUGCAUUUGAAGAAGAAAAACUAGCAUAAUAGUAUCAUCAGAUCACUUUUGAAGAAGGUUCAAAAGUGAGUGAGUGGGGACUAUUGCAGUAAUAGCUGUAUGUAGAGAGAGAGGGUCCCACUGAUCGAGCAUUAACAAUGAGCGUAACUACCACAUUUACACUCAUCAAAUGCACUUCACAUUCUUUCACUACUUUUUUGACAAUACAAGCUAGUUUCACACGAGUCACGCGUGUGAGAGACAGCAAUACUAUAAAAAAAAGACAUGUUUGUGCGUGUUGAAAAGGUUUGUGUUUUGUGUUGUUGGCGCUAACUCAUUUGGCAGUUGGUUAGAUGGAGACAUUUAUUACUAUGGUCAGUUUUUUGGAUAUGUUUUUAUUUUGGAAGUUCAAUAGAGGUGUUACUCCUACCAGUUUGGUUUAUUUAUCACACUCAUGCAUUUAAUUCAAGAGAAGAGGUAGGAGUAUUUUUUUUGGUUAAUAUUAACCUAUUUUAAGUAUGGUGAAAUAUAUUUUAUACAAACCUUGUUUAUCACUUCCCAUUAAUAUAUUGUUGUUUGUUUUUGUUGAAAGAAUGACUACUACUAGUACAUUUUUGUUGCUUAAAGGGUUCUAUGUACAAUUAGGUUUACCUAUAUACAUUCAUGUGUUUUUUAACCUUAACAAACUUGUGAAAGAAGGAUAAGUUUUUUUUGUCAUCAGAUGCACAUUAUGUUUGAAAAUAGUCAAUUUAAAAUCCAUAUUUUCUUUGUUAUACCCAAUAUUUAAUCAUAAUACAUUGGAAAAUUGAACAAAAAAAUAUAAAAUUAGAUUGCAUGGCCUUAGUAUUAUCCCAAGUUUUCUCUCCCAUAAUCAUAGUGUCGUCAACAAAAUGCAAACAAGAAAUAUGCAACUUCAAUGAAGAGUCAACCUUGUGCUCGAUAGACAGCUCAGCCUCAACUGAAACAUUCAACAUAACAUUCAUACCUUCAAAACACCGAUAAAAAACAAAAACAAUAAGAAAUGAUCGUCUUGCUGCAACCUCAUCUCAAUUUAAAUUCAUCGGUUAGAUUACCAUUUACUAAUACCGAAAUUGAUGCCGAAGUAACAUACAUCAUAGUCCAUCUUCUCCAUAAGACUACGAAAUUCAUUUUGGACAUGACCACAUCCAAGUACUCCCACUCAAUAAUAUUUUCAUCCAAUAUUUGCCUCCCUUUAACGAUCGACAAUCAACUUCAAUCUGGUUGCUACAACUUUCGACAACACUUUGUGCAUAUGCCAGACUAGUGAUAUUAGCCUAAAAUCAUACAAUCGUUAAGGACUAACAACUUUCAUAAUCAUAUGCAAUUAGUUAAAACCUUAAAACUACCUGGAUCUAGUAUAUCAAAUAUCUCAACAACCUUUUACCAUCUCUAUUGUACUUGGUUAUUCUUAUCAUAUGCAUGUGUUUAUUUCCCAUUUAUUUAUUGCAGGAAUUGAGGAGGAAUGUGGAACAUUUUAGCGUCUGAAUGUGGGUCCCAAAAAUUCGGUUUCCCUCCAAAACCUUACAGAAUUAACAAUCAUGCGAUACGCAAGAAAUUGAAAAUUGUUUUCUCCACUUCUAUAAUAAGAUGUCUACCUCACUUACUUAAGAUGAGAAUCAAAGAAUGCAAAGAGUUAAAGAAUAUUAUUGAAUUAGAUGAUUUGGAGGAUAAAAAAUCCUCAAAAACAUGCUUUCCAAAGCUAGGAACUCUUGUUGUAGUAAAGUGCAUCAAGUUGAACCAUGUCUUUCCAAUCUCCAUAUGUAAAGAGCUUCCUGAGCUAAAUUAUCUGAUCAUAAGAGAAGCAUAUGAGCUAGAGGAAAUAUUUGUAAGUGAAGGUGAUGAUCACAAAGUGGAGAUUCCAAAUCUGAAAGUUGUAAUAUUUGAAAAUCUACCAAAACUAUCCCUGGCUUCAGCAUCAACAGCAGACUUCAUAUUUGAUAUUAAUGGUUUAUAUGCUAGCAAGUUUGGCUACGGUACACACUCUAUACAAUAUUUUUAAAAACUAUUACACGUUGGCUGUAAAUAAUUACAUAUUAUUGCACAUCUUUGAACUUGAAAAUGAUGAUUUACCGUUGAAAGUGAACGUUUUGAUAUUAUUAUUAUUAUUAUGAGAUUCUGUAUAUUGAUGUUAUUAAUCGCUAUAGAUUAUGAAUUCUUCCAGAAUGUGACGAAGCUAUUCAAGCAAUUACAUGAUGAGUCCAAAGGCCUUUGAUACUAGUAAUGAAUAUCCAAGUUCAGAAAUCACCGAAGUUCAAGCAUCCGGACACGAGUUUACUUCUUCACGGGUCAAUACUAUUCUAUUUAUUCAAGUUAACCACAUAUGAAUACAAUCACCAAUACAAUGUAUUUGAAACAAACAUUUUAUUUUUGAUGCAGAAAGAAAUGGAACAAACACUAGAGACAGAGCAUGAAUUUGUUGAAAUUGUUCCUCAACAAGAGAUGCCAUCAGUAGCAACAAUAUUACCAACAAAUUCAAAAGUAAUUUGAAGGCCAUGUGAAAAUCACUUGGAUAUUCCUCUCCAAAUAUAUACAUAUUUCUUGUAUUCUUUUUUACACUUUGUCAGUACCGGAAUUGAAUUAUACCACAAUAUUGACAGGUUAGCGAAAUAAGUGUUGAAGAAGGUGACAACCAAAGAGCUAUAGCUUCUACUUCAAUCGCCAUAACAAAGCCUCUAACCACUCAAGAUGUUGAUGUUGAAAUCUGGCAGGAAACUAGUAACACUAAUGACGAUCGAGGUGAAGAAUCUUUGGAUCGGUUUUCUUUUCUUAAGUUAUCUCAUCGCCCUUUUCAUUUUGAAGUUAACCUUCUUCUUUCCCACCUUUUCUCAGUUUCUCUAAAUGAUGACGAUGUCAUGAAAGUAAGAUCAAAUAUUGAGCAACAGUUUCCCAAGGAAGAUGAAAUAUUAGUUUCCAAAUCAAGACCCUCUUCUAUUGAAUCUCAGUGUCCUUCAAAGUCUACUCAAGGUAUUUUAUUGCAUCAUUUUUUUAAAAUUAAUUUUCUAGUGCUCAAAUAUGCAUAAACAUUAUUUCAUGUACUCUCAGGGGAACCUUCUCAAAGAGAUGAAGAUUUAAGUUCUUCUUGCAUUGUCACAAGGGAGCUUGAGAAUCUAGUUUCCAAGAAUCAUUUAGCUAUUGAGAAAUUGUCUCUGUUGACUGAUUUCCUUGUUAAGCAUCCUUCAUUUCUUCUAAGGCACACUUCAUUGAGUAGCCGAUACAAGGGUUGGUUAUGCCUACAACUGUCUAGCCGAGCUAUUGAAAUUCCUUCAAACUCAUAGUGUGUUGGAUGUGUUAGGUUCAAGCCUCUCUGAAUUUAUCGAGUUAUUACAAGAUGUACACAGUUUUCCUUUUGAUAAGGAAUGGUUGGAUGAUAUCGAAAAGCGUGCUUUGUUUCAUGGUUCGCAAGUCUCUCAAGAUGCAUUGCAAAAAUUGUUGGACUCAAAACACAUCUUGACACAACGUGUGGAAGUAUCUUAAGCAUCAAUUGGCUUCCUCUGAAGCUGAUUUGCAGAGCAUCACUCAACAGGAGGCACAAAUUUUACGAACACGGGAUGCUUUAAGUGAUCCUCUUAGUUAUUAGACUAUUUUUUUCGUUGCAUUCAAUUUGUUCCCUGCUUUUCUUUAUCCUUCAAUAUUUUAUUUAUUGCUCGGACAUACGUUCCUCAUUAAUAAAUUCAUUUAGCUGUUCAAAACAAUUGACAAGUUAUAAAUACAAAGUUUUAGCGAUAAUUAAUCUAAGUAAGAGAACCUAUGAAGCACACAAUGUGUCUUGUCUGCUCCCUAUCGAAUUUUCUCCAUACGAAGGUGGCAGAGUUCAAACCUAUUACCACAUGCUUAAAAGAUUUACACCCCUUACCACUUUGACAAAAUAUUGUUGGUAACUUAACCUAAAUUUUAACCUAUAUACAAUCAUAAAAAUAUAGAAAUAACACAUUCUCAACCUCUAUAUAUAUCUUACAAAAAAAAAACAAUACAAGCUGAAAACAUGGGAAAAAAAUAAAUAAAAUAAUUGUUGAGUAUAGCUUAGUUCUGAUUUUGUACAAGUACAAACUUCCUAAACUUUUCUCAACCAACUUCUACUAUACACACCCCACCACCACCAAUUUUGAACCUAAUUAAUUAAGCUCAGGAAUACUUUGUAAAACAGGCUUCCAUAGCCUAUGAUGGACAUCAUGGUUGACAUGAUCUCUAGCAUUUAGCAAACCAACCAAAACAUGUUCAGCAGAAGCAUGUUUUGUGCUUCCAACACCCUGUUUCUCUGAUUCUCCCAACAAUACCGCAAGUUCUUUCUUUGAUAUCUUUAUUUUCACCUUACCAUUAGCAUCAGAAGAAGCUCUUAGUGCACCUAAAAGCUUCUCUUUCUCUAUGUUCCCCAAACUCAAACCAUGAACUUCAUCAAAAACUUUGCUUGAAUUCAUCCUACUCUUAUGGUUUGAUGUCAGUGAUCCCCAAUCUUCUCCGGCCCACUCCAUCGAAGAUGAUGUGCAACAAUUUCCCAUAUAUAUUUGUCUUUUGGUGUGCGCGGAUUUUCUCCAACAAUGGUCUAGCCAAUUUACGCACUAGCUAAUUUUUUUGAACAAACCAACGAAGCAAAAAAAAAAAAACUAUAAUCGUCGAAGAAACCUAAUAGCUGCAGAAUCAGUCAUCAGGAGGGACAAACAAAAAAGUAGGAACAAUAUCAAAAAAUUCUAUGUGUGUAAGAAGAUGAAGAUACAUAUGUUAAUGUUGAAGUGUUUGUACAAAUGGAAUGACGUGAGAGAAUUAUAGGGGUGGGAAGUUUUUGAUAUUUAUAAGGGUGAUGCAAUGUGAUUAGGAUAUACUAAUAGAGAAAAUUGACUUUUGGAAUAUUGAAUUUAACAAUUGCAUUAAAUAGUAACCCAUGUGGCAGCUAGAUCUGGUCACUAGUAUAAUUGUAUAUGUGUAAGAUAAGGGUUGGCUUAAUUUCAUUGACCAAAUUAAUCUAUAGUAUCUUAAUUUAUUGGGUUAUUACAUGUAUGACGUGUAGGACCCAUGAUAAACAUGGUGCUUGAAUUGAUCCCUUUUCCAUUAUUUGUUAGUGUGUGAAAUGUGAGAUGGAAUAGCAUCUUUGGAAAUGGCAAGUACAAGUGAGUGUGAACAUGAUUUUGGCAUUGGAAUCUUGGACUUGAUCGAGGGAUAUAUAUUUUGCUUGCUAAUUCCAUUUAUUUACCUUCACGUGUGGGCUUGGUAUAUUUACUUUGCGUAAUCUUGUGUGACUUGGCUCUUUUCAUAAUUAAAAAAAUUACUUUACGUAAUCUUUUAUCCAUCUAGAGUCUUAGACUAUAUACAUUGAUGUUUUGUUAGUUGCCCUCUACCACACCUUUUACACUGUUACAUUCAUAAAUUAACAUGUUAAAUUUUGUAUUGUAAUGCAAAUGAAAGUUAUUUUGACGUGAAAACAUCCUUGGUAGUAGGGGAUCCAACUCUUCUUUUUUCAUAAAAAAAUCUUGUGUCUUAAGAUUUCUUCACGUAUAACUUAGGUCAUUUGAGCUCGUAAGGAUAUAAGGUUGGUUUGGUGGAAGACAAAUUACUAACAAAUUAACAUAGUAACAUUGG